AGAGUUUGAUCCUGGCUCAGGAUGAACGCUGGCGGCGUGCCUAAUACAUGCAAGUCGAGCGAGAACUUCGGAAGUUGCGAUUUAUCAAGACAGAAGAAGGGAAAGCGGCGGACGGGUGAGUAACGCGUAGGCAACCUGCCCCUGGCAGAGGGAUAGCCAUUGGAAACGAUGAUUAAAACCUCAUAACGCCGGAAGCACACAUGUGCAUCCGGCCAAAGAUUUAUCGGCUGGGGAUGGGCCUGCGUCUGAUUAACUGGUUGGUGAGGUAACGGCUCACCAAGGUAACGAUCAGUAGCCGACCUGAGAGGGUGAUCGGCCACAUUGGAACUGAGACACGGUCCAAACUUCUACGGAAGGCAGCAGUAAGGAAUCUUGCACAAUGGGGGAAACCCUGAUGCAGCAACGCCGCGUGAACGAUGAAGGCCUUCGGGUUGUAAAGUUCUGAUCUUGGGGAAGAAGGAAGUGACGGUACCCAAGGAGAAAGCCCCGGCUAAAUACGCGCCAGCAGCCGCGGUAAUACGUAUGGGGCAAGCGUUAUCCGGGAUUAUUGGGCGUAAAGAGUGCGUAGGUGGUUACCUAAGCGCAAGGUUUAAUCUUGAGGCUCAACCUCAUUCUGCCUUGCGAACUGGGCUACUUGAGUGCAGGAGGGGAAAGCGGAAUUCCUAGUGUAGCUGUGAAAUGCGUAGAUAUUAGGAAGAACACCGGUGGCGAAGGCGGCUUUCUGGACUGUAACUGACACUGAGGCACGAAAGCGUGGGGAGCAAACAGGAUUAGAUACCCUGGUAGUCC
Molecule: ribosomal RNA, 789 nt
Filed under: uncultured bacterium
Lineage: Bacteria
Description: bacterial SSU rRNA
Rfam family: Bacterial small subunit ribosomal RNA
Source: RNAcentral